AGCAGAGGCAUUAACUCUUAAUUAACCAGAAAAAUCACCGCAUAUUAGCAAUAAACCGAAAUAUAACAAAGUUAGCACCGUCCAACCAGUUUAUUAUGAAGGUCUGCUACAGUCCUUGGCUCCAGGCAGUUUGCAGUAGCUCCUAAUAAUACUGACGUUUUAAUUUGGGACCUUUAUGCUUCGUACCAAAUCAAUAAACCCCCAACUGGACUGAAAUCUGGAGGCCAACACCUCAAAUUGGUUGUUGUCUUCCAUGAGAGAGCUCUUUUUUCUUUCUGCUAGGAAAACCAGAUCCAUCAGAGCAGCCAUUUUUCAUAUAUGACACUUCUGCGUCCUCAGUAGAACCUGGUAGUGACACCAUCCAUCAUUCUCCCAUCUCAGGUUCUCUUGAUUUUAUUUCUUGGACCAGUAUCAGACCCUCCAAAGCAAUACCAACCGACUGUCACUGUUUGGUUCUGGCUAAACCACAAGUUGACCUUAUUUUAUUUUAUUUUUUUAAAUGUUUUUCCUUCCGCUUCCAUCACAGGAAGCCCACCUGAAAUCCCUCUGCACUGAAAGCUUCAUUCAGGAUGCCCAACAGUUUUCUUUAUUUCUGCUCAUUCCCCCUCACGCACUCUGGGCCUGCUCAGAGGAAUGCUGGGUCACAUGAGUGGGCCAGCCUGACCUACUUUCAUCCAAUCAGAGGCCGCCGCCUCCUGCUCUCCUCCCCAUCUCCCCCAUGCAGCCCAGUCACAUUGAAUCUCAUGUGCUCCGGAGUAGGAGCAAAACAAAUCCAGCAGCAGGGAGGAGGAGAGAGGAGCCGAGCAAGCAACAGAGAGUGGGAAGGAUUUAGAAGGAAGGGGAAGCAAAAAUGAACAGAAAACUACAAAUAUAGAAAAAGACAAAAUACAAAAGUACUCGAUAGAGGACGAUAAUUUGAAAAAGCGAAGGCAAAGAAGAUAAAUAAAUACAAAGGGAAAUGAUGGGGAAGGAAAAUGAAUGAAGGGAAAAUGUGAGAAACCAUGAGAAAGGAAAAAGUCAACAAAAAUAAAGUGAAAAUGUAAAAGAAUAAAGAUGAGAAGAGGAGAGCACAUCGGAGAUUUGCCCAUCAUAAUGCUGGAGCUCUUUUAUUUAAGUGAUACAUUUGGCUCUAUUCCUCUUUCUCUCCUUCCUUCGUUCCUCUGAUUGUUUCUUGCCCCUCUUUGCUUUUUUUUUUCCUGCAACCCGGUUCAAACCAGUCGACAAUCCCAGCUACUGUGACCUCAUCACGCCCUCUGCAGAGUCCAGUGAUUGUUUUCUAACUUCUGUUACCUCCAGUUGUGAGAAGAAAAAAAAAAAAUCGUUCACAUUGCCAGAUCGGACACUUUCUGGCAUUUCUCUGUUUAUCAGACUUCAGCUCAGUUAAAUGACUCAAAACGCCAGGCAACGCUUCCGAAAAGUUGGCUCGACUAAAUAAAAGUCAGGUUGUAAACAACAGGCGAGGUGAUCCAGCAUUUUCAUUGCCUUUCUGUGCUACUUGCUUUUCUUGUUCAGUGGGCAUUGCAUCCAUCUUGUGACUCUCUCCUUAAUUGUUGUUAUCAUAGAUUGGAGAGUCAUUGUACGAUAAUAAUAUUUAAUCCUUUUUUCCUUUUUCGUCUCUGGGUUCCAGUCAAAACAAUUUUUUUUUGUGGUACUUAUAGGAGCCAAAUAAGAGCCAAAAGUGUUGUGGUGUUUGUUUGUGUUUUGUUUUUUUAAAACUAUGUAAAUCAUGUUGCUUCUGCGUGAACUCGAUCCGGCAGACGAAGAGGCUCCCUGAAACACAAAGCACCCUAAAAACGGUGCGUGUGAUUCUGCGUGCAGCGAAGAGUCCGACAAAGCCGUCAUUAAACACUCCUUAGCAACAGCAGCAACCGAGCGCCUGCAGUGUUGUGGCAACCGUUUUGUCGAGAGGAAAGUAGGGCAGCGGCGACUGGACCUGUUGCAGCUCUGACUCAUUGCUUUAACGCGCCUCACUGCCACCUGAAGAGGCUUUUCUGUCACUGCACAGAAACCUUUUCAGCUGCCGGCAUGUUACAGCAGCUCGUAUUUCCCGUCAGCUAAUCCAGACAGAUGGAGUUUGUUGCGUGACAAAGGCGUCUGCAUGAAGAAGGCCGAACACCGAGACAAGAUUUUAUUUAAAAACAAGACAUAAUGUAAGCACGUAUGCGCCUUUCUCUUCCUUUAGUUGCACUCAGCUGUCACAAGGAUUGCAAAUUACAGUAAUCGUGUGACUUUUGUUUGACAUAAUCGACAACAGAAUUAAAUUACUCCCUGGACAAGGAGGCAAAUUAAUCCCUGGGCAAAGCAAUGGGGCUUAUUUUGUAUCGAAAUGAAUCACAGAUUGGUUGGCCAUGAAAUAAUCAUCUUCAAAAGCGUAGAGAAAACAGAAGCCUUUUACAUUUUAAACAUCUUAAGUCUUCUUUAGAAACAACUGGAAAACUACUGUUUUCUAUAUUUUUUUCCCUCAAGCAAAGUCAGUUUAGUCUGUACAGAUUUGCUCCAUGUUCUGCCAUCUUUGCAGCAUGUAAAAAUGUUGGUUAAAGUCCUAUAAUUUUUCUGAUCGGUUGUCGUUACAUCGUCGUUUAGUAAUAUUACUCAAAUCUGGCUUCCCAGCAGCUCCGAUUAACACAGGAGCGCCCCAGGACGGUGUGCACGGACCACUGCUCUUUGCACAUUUACACAAUCCCACUUGAUCUUUUGUGAACAAUGGUACGUUAGUGAAACUGAAAUCCUGGCUGCGGAUCCACAGACGCUUCUCUUGUUCCUGUUCAGAUUGAAAUAAUUACUACCUAUUGUUUGAGUUUUGAAUGGAAUCUGUGAGUAAAUCUUGCCUCAUUGGAGAAACAUCUCCAGACCCAGCCCACGAGUGUUUUGAUUUGCCCUCUUUCUCAACUACCGUCGGCUCUACCAACUAACAUUCACGCAAACCCUUGGGUGUGCACCCAAAACUCACCAAGCUCUAACCACUCCCUUCUGUUCUCCGUGUUUACAUCUACAAUGUUCAACCCUUUGUAGAAUGCAUCUUACAAUAACAGUUAUUCACAGAGGCAUUCAGUACAAAUGAGUGUUUCUUCCCCUACUCCCAUCACUGACCCAUUUAGCGUUUUGGUUGUUUCAUAUGCCAUCAUUCCGGAUUUUGUGAUACCUCUGGAGAGGCUCUACAAAAAUGUUUGCCGCUUAUAGUCUCCAAAGGCGUUUGCCUUUUUAUUUGUCCAAUUUCUCUGUUUUUUUUUCCAUUGCCUUCCGUCUUUGUUUCUAUGUUUUUUUCCAUAGUAACGGGGUGCUGGCGAAGUUUGUCUCAGCUGGUCAGCGAGACAGAUUAACAAUCUGAAAUAUCCUAAAAGAUUAUAAUGCUCACAAUUUAUCCAGUUUCUUUAAGAGGAAAAUUUUCAAAAUGGAAAAAAAAGGGGAUUUAUUGAUUCCUAGUGAUGAACGUUUGAAGUGAAUAUCUAGCAAAAGAGCUCAGUUACACAGUUUUAUGGGUCAGUGUCAUUUAGACAUAAUGACAAACAACAUAAUCACGUAAUCGACGUAUGUUUUACCACAAAACAGUCGAAGUACCGAGUUACGCAACCAAAGCUGGCCUAAAUAAGCCCAGUCAGAGCGCGUGGACCUUGCGUUGCCUCUUAAUACUCGGACUUAUUCUUAAAUCUGGGCUGUAAUCAGACCUGUUUGCAUAAAAAGGAUGUGAACUUUCUCCCAGUAUCCAUCAGGCCAGUUAUGGAUCACUUUGCGCGGGAGCUUUUAAUCCAAGCUGCUCAUGGAGCCGAUGACCCUCAGAUUCUCCAAAUGGAAUCGAGGAAAAGAGGCUUUGAAUGUUGUGUAACCUCACGGCGAAGUUGGUUUUGGAGACUGUUUACACACUGCUAAAAAGAGCAGUAGCGGACGUGUGCGUGUUCACAGGUGUCAAGCAUAGGUCUCUCUACACAAAAAUCAUAGAUUACUAAGGAGUAGAUAAAAGUAGCCAAGGUCAUGACAAUUUUUUAAAGUCAGUUUAAUUAAAAAAAUGAUAAUUUUAUUGAUCUCGAUGAGCAAUUAAACCUCGUUAAUUAAUUCAAGAUUCUUCAAAGAGUUAUUGUAGAUGGUGACGGCUGUGGGGUUUAAGGAAGUCCUGUAGCAGUCUGUGUUAAGGCGAGUUCGAAGAAGCCUCUGACUGAAGACGUUUUUCUAUGACAGUCUCUUGAAGAAGACGCUCAGGGUUGUCCAUCGUUUUCAGGAUUUCGCACCAUCAUCUAGUCCACAAAACUGAAUACGCUCAAAAUAAAGAUUUCAUUCAAUCAUGAAUUCAUCGAAACACUUUCGCUUCCGCUCAUCUCCCCUCUUCCUCAACAGUCAGUGAUCUGUAUCUUAAAAUAAGGAAGGAGUCCAGUGAGGGCUGUGUGGAUGUGUGGGGGUGUGUGUGUGUGUGAUUUCUGUUAUCUGCGCCUCUGAUAGCGUCACAUAUUUAUAGCCACACUUGUGAACACGAAGGAAAAUCAAUAUUUGGAGCCGCUGGCAGGAAGACUAUUGGCUCAGCUCCACCUCCAGCCCACACACACACACACACCGGUGCUCUCGCACAGAAACAAAUACAACCUCUUCGCCCAAAGCUAAACGCCAAAAUAAUCGGAUUAUGUGACAUUUAUUUUGUUGCUUCCAGAUCCGACGUCAGCAACACAAAACAGCAAACGCAUCUCAUGAAAUGGAAACAUCUUUUUUUUUUUUAUUGAUCCAUCUUCAUGACAUAAUACUUGCUGUAGUUUCAUUAUAACCACAGAGCCUUCCAGUCCCACUGCUGAAUAGAAGGAUCCCAGAAUCCUGACAGGGUUCCAUUAUCGCUUUCUAUAAGGCUUCACAAGGUUUCUAAAGCAAAGCUUUGGUUUCAGGUUUUUACAAAAUGUUACGAAUCAAGAAGACGCUGCAGUAGUGAAGCAGGGAAACAGUGUUGGUUUUUUAACGUGGGGACUAAUUAGAGCCAACAAAUGUAAACUAAAAUCAAGAGUAGAGGGGAGAAAGAAAGCUAAAAGCAGCACAGAUUAAAUCCUUCUGAAGUGUCCUUAAAAACUACCCCCUCCUACCCCCCACACACACACACACUUUGGCAGUAAUUACUUUGAAUAAAAGCAGAGCUCAAACUCACCCAUGUCCUCGACAAAAACAGUUCGCUCGAGCGUGGAAGCACGAUAAAGUCUGAAG
Molecule: long non-coding RNA, 5172 nt
Organism: Xiphophorus hellerii (green swordtail)
Lineage: Eukaryota; Metazoa; Chordata; Actinopteri; Cyprinodontiformes; Poeciliidae
Exons: 2
Source: RefSeq, a predicted model, not a curated record